UUUGCAGUUGGUGAUAUCUCUUCUCAAAGGGGAUGAGUUGAUGAAACUAAACCAUUUUUCUUCGUAAGGGUUUUCUUUGUUUUUUAACGCCAUUAUUCUUGGCAUAGGGAUAGCGAAAUCAGAUUGUACAAGACUAUGUAUGUGGAUUAGAUAAUGGAGGGAAUUUUUUCAAUGAUAACUCGACUUCCGAUAAGUCCAAGGUGGCGAUGAUUGUUAUCACACUCGAGAGAAGAUCAUGAAAAUAUUACAACUUGGCUCUUGGUUAGUAGUCUUAAGUGAUCAUGCGUGUAUUUUGUGCCAAUAUAAUUUGAUGAGGGAAGUAAACUGGCGGAGUGCCCGGUGAACAAGCCAAGUUAUAUGUCCCUGGGGCUGGGUCUGAAGAAUGUUGGUCUUAAAAUAUGCCACAUCUUCACGAAAGUUCCUGGAUGAGGUCCGAUACAAGAAAAAAAAUAUUAUUCUGGUUGGACCUAUGGAUGUUGAGGUCAAGCAAUGGAAAAGUUACUCAUCAUAGAAACGAACUAGGAAACAAACUACAAUGAACUCCCUGAAAAUGUGUAUUUUCGAAUUUAGUUGUUUACAUUAUACUAUGUGAAGAACUAUUUUUUUGUCUUUUUUUGUAUUGUAUGCCAAAAGAAGUGUUCUCGACAGUAUAUAUCUGGAGGUUUGAUAAAGCCUUUUGUUUACCAAUAUGAGCCAGUUAAUUUGGCAGAGAUAACUAUUUACAUGUC
Molecule: long non-coding RNA, 728 nt
Organism: Papaver somniferum (opium poppy)
Lineage: Eukaryota; Viridiplantae; Streptophyta; Magnoliopsida; Ranunculales; Papaveraceae
Exons: 4
Source: RefSeq, a predicted model, not a curated record